Molecule: ribosomal RNA, 457 nt
Filed under: uncultured bacterium
Lineage: Bacteria
Description: bacterial SSU rRNA
Rfam family: Bacterial small subunit ribosomal RNA
Source: RNAcentral
UACGGAAGGCAGCAGUGGGGAAUAUUGGACAAUGGGCGCAAGCCUGAUCCAGCCAUGCCGCGUGUGUGAAGAAGGCCUUCGGGUUGUAAAGCACUUUUGUCCGGAAAGAAAGCUUAGGGUUAAUAACCUUGAGUCAUGACGGUACCGGAAGAAUAAGCACCGGCUAACUUCGUGCCAGCAGCCGCGGUAAUACGAAGGGUGCAAGCGUUACUCGGAAUUACUGGGCGUAAAGCGUGCGUAGGUGGUUUUGUUAAGUCUGAUGUGAAAGCCCUGGGCUCAACCUGGGGAUGGCAUUGGAAACUGGCUUACUAGAGUGCGGUAGAGGGGUGUGGAAUUCCCGGUGUAGCAGUGAAAUGCGUAGAUAUCGGGAGGAACAUCUGUGGCGAAGGCGACACCCUGGGACCAGCACUGACACUGAGGCACGAAAGCGUGGGGAGCGAAACAGGGAUUAGAUACC